This 63-nucleotide transfer RNA is filed under the name Hippodamia variegata. Its description in RNAcentral is "tRNA-Trp". Lineage: Eukaryota; Metazoa; Arthropoda; Insecta; Coleoptera; Coccinellidae. The record is from RNAcentral.
AAGGAUUUAAGUUAAAAAAACUAUUAACCUUCAAAGUUAAAAAUAGAGUAAUUCUAAGCCUUA